RNAcentral lists this unclassified non-coding RNA (290 nucleotides) under fungal sp. Its description in RNAcentral is "partial internal transcribed spacer region". The stretch from base 1 to 46 matches the Rfam family "Eukaryotic small subunit ribosomal RNA", at positions 1786 to 1831 of the family's 1831-position model. The record is from RNAcentral. Lineage: Eukaryota; Fungi.
AAGUCGUAACAAGGUUUCCGUAGGUGAACCUGCGGAAGGAUCAACAUUGGAACAGUUACAAUCGAGCGGUAGCUCUAUAGGCAAUGUUUCCCCAAGCAGUCAGUGUCGGAAAGUGUCAUUGAUUGUGCAAGAAUAGCGCUUCUACGAUUCCUGUAGACCGUACACUCGGGCAGGAGCUUGGCCAAAGGGUCCCCAUGCCCCCUAAUAACCCUACAGUUUAAUGUGAAGCUCAAUGUAAUACAUUGGGUAAAAAAACCGAACAACUGUUAACAAUGGAUAUCUUGGUUCUC